Molecule: ribosomal RNA, 294 nt
Filed under: Triticum aestivum (bread wheat)
Lineage: Eukaryota; Viridiplantae; Streptophyta; Magnoliopsida; Poales; Poaceae
Description: partial small subunit ribosomal RNA
Source: RNAcentral
AUGCUUCAUGUUUGGAAAAUUAAGGUACCUUUAAAAAUAAAGAUCUUCAUGUGGCUUGUACACAAGCAAGUGGUCUUUACUAAGAAUAACUUGGCAAAUCGUAAUUGGGAGGGUAGUAAACGUUGUUGCUUCUGUGAUGAGGAUAAAUCAAUACAACAUAUUUUCCUUCACCAGUUAGAGAACUGGUUAGCCACAACUUUAAUUGGUGGCGCGCCAUUUUCAACCAACGCCACCACUAUUUUUCUAAAUAGUGGCGGCGUUGUGAUAUUUGGUACGACAUUGCUACGACCUUAG